GUUUGAUCAUGGCUCAGAUUGAACGCUGGCGGCAGGCUUAACACAUGCAAGUCGAGCGGGGGAAGGUAGCUUGCUACUGGACCUAGCGGCGGACGGGUGAGUAAUGCUUAGGAAUCUGCCUAUUAGUGGGGGACAACAUCUCGAAAGGGAUGCUAAUACCGCAUACGUCCUACGGGAGAAAGCAGGGGAUCUUCGGACCUUGCGCUAAUAGAUGAGCCUAAGUCGGAUUAGCUAGUUGGUGGGGUAAAGGCCUACCAAGGCGACGAUCUGUAGCGGGUCUGAGAGGAUGAUCCGCCACACUGGGACUGAGACACGGCCCAGACUCCUACGGGAGGCAGCAGUGGGGAAUAUUGGACAAUGGGGGGAACCCUGAUCCAGCCAUGCCGCGUGUGUGAAGAAGGCCUUAUGGUUGUAAAGCACUUUAAGCGAGGAGGAGGCUACUUUA
This 445-nucleotide ribosomal RNA is filed under the name Acinetobacter baumannii. RNAcentral describes it as "bacterial SSU rRNA". It matches the Rfam family "Bacterial small subunit ribosomal RNA", at positions 11 to 458 of the family's 1533-position model. The record is from RNAcentral. Lineage: Bacteria; Pseudomonadati; Pseudomonadota; Gammaproteobacteria; Moraxellales; Moraxellaceae.